Molecule: ribosomal RNA, 468 nt
Filed under: uncultured bacterium
Lineage: Bacteria
Description: partial 16S ribosomal RNA
Rfam family: Bacterial small subunit ribosomal RNA
Source: RNAcentral
GACGAACGCUGGCGGCGUGCUUAACACAUGCAAGUCGAACGGAAAGGCCCUGCUUUUGUGGGGUGUUCGAGUGGCGAACGGGUGUGUAACACGUGAGUAACCUGCCCUUGACUUUGGGAUAACUUCAGGAAACUGGGGCUAAUACCGGAUAGGAGCUCCUGCUGCAUGGCGGGGGUUGGACAGUUUCGGCGGUUGGGGAUGGACUCGAGGCUUAUCAGCUUGUUGGUGGGGUAGUGGCUUACCAAGGCUUUGACGGGUAGCCGGCCUGAGAGGGUGACCGGCCACAUUGGGACUGAGAUACGGCACAGACUCAUACGGGAGGCAGCAGUGGGGAAUAUUGCACAAUGAGCGGAAGCCUGAUGCAGCAACGCCGCGUGCGGGAUGAAGGCCUUCGGGUUGUAACCCGCUUUCGCCUGUGACGAAGCGUGAGUGACGGAAAUGGGUAAAGAAGCACCGGCUAACUACGUG